RNAcentral lists this small RNA (93 nucleotides) under Salmonella enterica subsp. enterica serovar Montevideo. RNAcentral's name for it is "partial RtT sRNA". It matches the Rfam family "RtT RNA", at positions 39 to 130 of the family's 130-position model. From Rfam's summary of the family: This family represents a bacterial cis-regulatory element known as RtT RNA. The exact function of RtT is unknown although it is thought that it may be involved in changing the cellular response in relation to amino acid starvation. Lineage: Bacteria; Pseudomonadati; Pseudomonadota; Gammaproteobacteria; Enterobacterales; Enterobacteriaceae. The record is from RNAcentral. RNAcentral also lists the same sequence under 1 other name.
AGGUUCGAUUCGAGCGCAGCGAGAAAGCGUUGCCGUAGGCAACGACCCGAAGGGCGAAGCGCGCAGCGCUGAGUCAUCCUUCCCCCACCACCA